This 496-nucleotide ribosomal RNA is filed under the name uncultured bacterium. RNAcentral's name for it is "partial 16S ribosomal RNA". It matches the Rfam family "Bacterial small subunit ribosomal RNA", at positions 31 to 507 of the family's 1533-position model. The record is from RNAcentral.
AGGAAAGGGGGCGGAGUGCCUCAUACAUGCAAGUCGAGCGCACGGACGAGAAGCUUGCUUCUCUGAUGUUAGCGGCGGACGGGUGAGUAACACGUGGAUAACCUACCUAUAAGACUGGGAUAACUUCGGGAAACCGGAGCUAAUACCGGAUGAUAUUUUGAACCGCAUGGUUCCAAAGUGAAAGACGGUCUUGCUGUCACUUAUAGAUGGAUCCGCGCUGCAUUAGCUAGUUGGUAAGGUAACGGCUUACCAAGGCAACGAUGCAUAGCCGACCUGAGAGGGUGAUCGGCCACACUGGAACUGAGACACGGUCCAGACUCCUACGGGAGGCAGCAGUAGGGAAUCUUCCGCAAUGGGCGAAAGCCUGACGGAGCAACGCCGCGUGAGUGAUGAAGGUCUUCGGAUCGUAAAACUCUGUUAUUAGGGAAGAACAUAUGUGUAAGUAACUGUGCACAUCUUGACGGUACCUAAUCAGAAAGCCACGGCUAACUACGUG